GGGUGGAUUAGUGGCGAACGGGUGAGUAACACGUGGGCAAUCUGCCCUGCACUCUGGGACAAGCCCUGGAAACGGGGUCUAAUACCGGAUAUGACCGUCUUGGGCAUCCUUGACGGUGUAAAGCUCCGGCGGUGCAGGAUGAGCCCGCGGCCUAUCAGCUUGUUGGUGAGGUAGUGGCUCACCAAGGCGACGACGGGUAGCCGGCCUGAGAGGGCGACCGGCCACACUGGGACUGAGACACGGCCCAGACUCCUACGGGAGGCAGCAGUGGGGAAUAUUGCACAAUGGGCGAAAGCCUGAUGCAGCGACGCCGCGUGAGGGAUGACGGCCUUCGGGUUGUAAACCUCUUUCAGCAGGGAAGAAGCGAGAGUGACGGUACCUGCAGAAGAAGCGCCGGCUAACUACGUGCCAGCAGCCGCGGUAAUACGUAGGGCGCAAGCGUUGUCCGGAAUUAUUGGGCGUAAAGAGCUCGUAGGCGGCUUGUCACGUCGGUUGUGAAAGCCCGGGGCUUAACCCCGGGUCUGCAGUCGAUACGGGCAGGCUAGAGUUCGGUAGGGGAGAUCGGAAUUCCUGGUGUAGCGGUGAAAUGCGCAGAUAUCA
RNAcentral lists this ribosomal RNA (600 nucleotides) under Streptomyces murinus. Its description in RNAcentral is "bacterial SSU rRNA". It matches the Rfam family "Bacterial small subunit ribosomal RNA", at positions 85 to 699 of the family's 1533-position model. Lineage: Bacteria; Bacillati; Actinomycetota; Actinomycetes; Kitasatosporales; Streptomycetaceae. The record is from RNAcentral.